GUCAUCUGGGGUGUGGCUGUUUGAGGAUGGACUCCAGGUCACAGAGCCCCAGGAAUUGUUUGUAGACUGUCAUGUGUAUCUACAUGAGUCUGCAAACCGGCAGCACCGGACUCACCAAGGUCGAGAAGCGUGAUCGCUGCUGUUCCCUGCGUGCACACUGAGUGGUGUGCUAAGGACCUGCCCUGCAGGAGCAUGCAGGAGCCUCCCAGCAACUCUCCGAGGAGGCUCCAAAUGGAGAACCUGGAAGUCAGAGAGGCGACGUCACUCACCCAAGGUCUCCCAGCUCCUAGCUGGUUCCAACCCAGGAUAUCACAUUGCAUUUUGUCAUGUCUCCUUGAUUUCUUCUGGUCUGUGACAGUUUCUGUCUUCCCCCAGAUUUUCUCAGUCUUUCUCAAGUCAUGACCUCGAGCUUUGAGGAGAACUAGUGAAGUAUUUUGUGAAUGUCCCUCAGUUUGUGUUUGUCUGUAUUUUUUUCAUGAUUAGCUCGGGUAUGAGCUUGGGAAAAGAUGCCCAGAGGUGUGUGGAGCCCUCCUUAGUCCAUUAUAUCAGGAGGUACAUGAGAUUCCCGUGAUUAAAGUAUUAGCCUUAAUGUA
Long non-coding RNA from Macaca mulatta (Rhesus monkey), 593 nucleotides. RefSeq lists it as uncharacterized. NCBI's taxonomy places the organism in Eukaryota, Metazoa, Chordata, Mammalia, Primates, Cercopithecidae. The record is from RefSeq and is a predicted model, not a curated record.